UACAGGGGGGGCAAGCGUUGUUCGGAAUUACUGGGCGUAAAGGGCUCGUAGGUGGCCAACUAAGUCAGACGUGAAAUCCCUCAGCUUAACUGGGGAACUGCGUCUGAUACUGGAUGGCUUGAGUUUGGGAGAGGGAUGCGGAAUUCCAGGUGUAGCGGUGAAAUGCGUAGAUAUCUGGAGGAACACCUGUGGCGAAAGCGGCUCACUGGACCAUAACUGACGCUGAGGCACGAAAGCUAGGGGAGCAAACAGG
RNAcentral lists this ribosomal RNA (253 nucleotides) under uncultured bacterium. Its description in RNAcentral is "partial 16S ribosomal RNA". It matches the Rfam family "Bacterial small subunit ribosomal RNA", at positions 524 to 776 of the family's 1533-position model. The record is from RNAcentral.